Molecule: RNA transcript, 2779 nt
Organism: Hipposideros armiger (great roundleaf bat)
Lineage: Eukaryota; Metazoa; Chordata; Mammalia; Chiroptera; Hipposideridae
Gene: GDAP1L1
Gene name: ganglioside induced differentiation associated protein 1 like 1
Exons: 9
Source: RefSeq, a predicted model, not a curated record
GGAAGCACGUGCACCAAACGUCACUUCCUGUUAUUCUCUUCGCUCCCUCUUUGAUCCGCAGUGGGUUCGCUGGUGACCGGUUUUUGGGGCGUGCCCUUUUCCCUCUCUGUCAGAUGGGGAAACUGAAGCAAAGAGAAAUAAAGUGACUUGCCUGCGGUCACACAGCCAGUAAGUGAUGGAGCUAGAACUGGAACCAAGGCAGUCGGGCUAGUCUGUGCUGCCACUUUCUCCUUAUGAUAAGAUGCCUGCCAGCGACGAGCUCAGUUUGGACACAUUGAACUUGAGAACUGUGGGGUAGCCAUGUGGAGGUAUCUGUGGGACAGAAGGUACAUGAGUCUGAAGCUCAAGUGAGAGAUUCGGACUGGAAAUAGAGAUUGUGGAGUCAGCAUGCGGGUGGCCGUUGAAACCACAGGAGAGGGCAAGAGCCCCCAAGGAGAUGCUGGGAAAUAAUAGGGGGAAAAAAACAAAGGGACCCCCAGAAGGCAAGCACAGCAUUCCAGUUAUGGGAAGGAUGCAUUUGCUUCUGCAGACUAAUAAAUUGGUGCCUGGUUUAUAGGUCAUCAAUCCACAUUGACUGAGUCGUCCCUCCCACCCCCCUGAGUUUGAUCAGCCCUGGAUACCCUGACACAGUAGAGUUCUUGGACCCACAACUAUGAGGCCCGGAGAGGUGAAGCCUCCUGUUGAAUUACGUAUGCAAAGCAACAGCAAUCGGAUCUCAAAUCACGAUGCCUUCAGCAAAGGAGAGCCGGAAGGGGGUGAGAAUUACUUUGGGGAGAUGAAUACCAGCUUUGGUUGAAGGAAUAAGAGCCGAACAGGUGUCGAAGGAGCAGGAGUCACAGGUGCGGCUGGUGAUCGCGGAGAAGGGCCUGGUCUGUGAGGAGCGGGAUGUGAGCCUGCCACAGAUCGAGCACAAGGAGCCCUGGUUCAUGCGGCUCAACCUGGGCGAGGAGGUGCCCGUCAUCAUCCACCGCGACAACAUCAUCAGCGACUACGACCAGAUCAUCGACUAUGUGGAGCGCACUUUCACGGGAGAGCACGUGGUGGCCCUGAUGCCCGAGGUGGGCACCCCACAGCACGCACGGGUGCUGCAGUACCGCGAGCUGCUGGACGCACUGCCCAUGGAUGCCUACACGCACGGCUGCAUCCUGCACCCCGAGCUCACCACCGACUCCAUGAUCCCCAAGUACGCCACGGCCGAGAUCCGCAGACAUUUAGCCAACGCCACCACGGACCUCAUGAAACUAGACCAUGAGGAGGAACCCCAGCUCUCAGAGCCCUACCUUUCUAAACAGAAGAAGCUCAUGGCCAAGAUCCUGGAGCAUGACGACGUGAGCUACCUGAAGAAGAUCCUCGGGGAGCUGGCCAUGGUGCUGGACCAGAUAGAGGCUGAGCUGGAGAAAAGGAAGCUCGAGAACGAGGGACAGAAAUGUGAGCUGUGGCUGUGUGGCUGUGCCUUCACCCUGGCUGACGUCCUCCUGGGAGCCACCCUGCACCGCCUCAAGUUCCUGGGACUGUCCAAGAAAUACUGGGAAGAUGGCAGCCGGCCCAACCUGCAGUCCUUCUUCGAGAGGGUCCAGAAACGCUUUGCCUUCCGGAAAGUCCUCGGUGACAUCCACACCACGCUGCUGUCAGCUGUCAUCCCCAACGCGUUCCGGCUGGUCAAGCGGAAACCGCCAUCUUUCUUUGGGGCCUCCUUCCUCAUGGGCUCCCUGGGCGGGAUGGGCUACUUUGCCUACUGGUACCUCAAGAAAAAAUACAUCUAGAGCCAGGCCUGGGCUUGGUAUCUGACUGCCAGUGUCUCUCUGUGCUGUGUGAUCCCCAAUGAGCUCUCAGUAACGCACUGUCUCAUGAACUCGGACAGCCUUUCCCCGCCCCUUGUUUGGAGUAAUUCUAUCGUCAAUGUGAAAACAUUCCAUAGUUUAGAAGUAGACGUUGCCAAUGCCGUGAGUUGAGGCCACGGCUCUACUAAAGGAGAGAAAGAGUAAGAGAGAGAAAGAAAAAGAGAGAGAGAGAGAGAGAGAGAGAGAGAGAGAGAGAGAGAGAGAGAGAGAGAUCAGAAACAAAGCACGAAUGCCUUUUCUUUCGAUUCAAGGUCUCAAGAUGGAACUGUGGGGACUGGUUAGGAUCUGAGGGAACUCUUCCACAGGACAAAAGCCAACAUCAAGACUCAACUCUUCUAGCCUCCAGGUGGGGCUAGAGACCCGGAGACCCCAUGGAAGGCCCCUGAAGAUCAGAAGGGGCUUCAUUCUUCUCCUGGACAUGGACUGAGACAGCACUGGCUCGAGCCAAGACAGUGGCACCCAACCACCAGGCCACGACUGGGACCGACACCAUGGGCACACCCUCAUUCCCGCCCUGAUGUGGCCAGUGAGUUUGGUUUGGCAUUUUACUGGUAAUCCCUGAAGGCAGCAUCCAUUAUCCUCUUCCCACCUGGAGUUGAGUUUUCCUACCAUGUGAAGUGGACUUUCAGUAAAAGCCAUGUUGACCUUAGAAGGUCAGUCCCGGCCCGAGUGCAGGGGUAGGUCUGGAGGGGGAUGAACCUCAAGUCCCUCUCCCAGCCUCUGCCAAAGCCAUCUCCUUUAAUGCCCACCUUUCCCAUCACUUGUGGGGCUCCCCUGCACGCCCCACCAUGCCACGCUGCCUGCCCUGGUCGUGUCUCACUUUCCUGUGCCUUUUGCAUGUUGGGAGAAAGUCUGGGUGUCACUGCCGCUCAUGCUUAGAAACCACUGAAAGCCCCCAAUAAAGCAUCCAGGAGAAGCAGUCGCUUUUCAUUUCUAAA